RNAcentral lists this long non-coding RNA (2291 nucleotides) under Homo sapiens (human). Its description in RNAcentral is "non-protein coding lnc-ADPRM-5:4". Lineage: Eukaryota; Metazoa; Chordata; Mammalia; Primates; Hominidae. The record is from RNAcentral.
CUCCUGUCUGCUGCAGCCUCACACACCAGACAGUUCUCAAGAUGUCCUUCGGGGGAGCCUCCAGGAAGGGUUGGAGACUCUCAUCUCUACUUCUACCCAUUCUUGGUCCUCAGAAAUCCUUCUACUGCUUCCAUACUGCCUCAGGGCACAAAGAAUUGCUGAGCAGCCAUCGGAGGUGAUACGUCUCUAGAGAUAUAAACAGCUCCCUCUCAUUAGGAUCUGGUCACUUCCCUGCUUCUUUUCUGGAACUCCACUUGGAACGAAGAAGAGGCACUAGGUGCAUGCCUACACAGAGGAAAGCCAUGUGAGGACACAGCGAUAAGAUUGCUGACUGCAAGCUCAGGAGAACUUAGAAGAAACCAACCCUACCAGCACCUUGAUCUUGGACUUCCAGCCUCCAGAACUGUGAGAAAGUAAAUUUCUGUUGUUUAAAUCACCCAGUCUAUGGUAGUUUGUUAUGAUGACCCAAGCAGAAUAAUGCAUACCAUGAUUCUCUUCCAUUCUCUCAACUCAGGACAUCCUUUCCCAGUGUUGGGGUGGUGGAGGGGAAUGACAUAGAUGUUCGUGGAUGGAGAGAAGGCCUUCCUGUUGUUAAGACUUUUUUCUUAGCUCCAUCAUCCAUGUGACAUGCCCUUGCAUUCUUUUUAGUGUCUGGGCCAGUCUGCCAUGGCUUUUCAGAAAGCAGGGCCCAAGCACACCUUUGGAUUCAACCUGAGUGGGUUCUAACCAAGAAUACCAGUGAACACACCCCAUGGAAGGGGCCUCAUCAGUAGAGGUUGUAUUCCGAAUACUUGUGAACAUUUUUUGGUCUGAGAUGAACACAGCAUUCCCUCUUUGGAGCACUGUGGGCAUUAUAUUUGCAAAAGGGAAUAAUGUUAGGCUCCUUCAGAAAAACAAAGUGGUGCACCAGCAUCUCAGCUGUGGAAAGAGCUCAGACCUUGGUAACGUUUCAAAGUACCAUGGAUGUGAGGGACAGUCAGUGACCACAGAAGGAACUUGGCCAAGGAAAAAGAGACACGUAGUGUCAGGCAAAGCUCAGAAAAUUUCAGAGAAUUAGACUGGGAGGCAGACCAUCUCAGCCUGGAGCUAGCUUACUUUUGUACUUCUUGCAUGAGACAGUCCACAUUCUUACUGUUUAAGCUGCUCAAAAGGGUGUUUCUGUAACUACUUGCAGUGGAAAGAAAUGUGUCCAGAAUCUCUCAAAACCCUGAAUACCACAGUGCAUUGGCAGGGCAGGCUUUAUAUGGCCACAAACAACAAUAACACUGGAAUAUUCUAUUCACUCAUUCCCUCAGGUCAUGGUUUCCUACUUGAAAGCACCAUGGAUAAGUCCCUUUCUGCUGUUUCUCCCCAAAACAAGGAUAUGCAUCAUGAUUUCUUGAAGAUUCCACCAUUAGUCAUAGACGGGCCUGAAAAAUUGUACAAAUUAGAAGGCUCCAGGAUGCUUCUGUUGCAUGGGAAAUCAGAGACACAUAGUGCCUGCUCUUCCCAAGCAUUCAGACUAGUGAGAAAGGAAAGAGACAAAGGAGAUAGAAGAAGUGGAAUAAGGGGAAAGAUAAGAACUGGAAAGCUGAACCAUAGCCCAGACCCAAGCAGGAGAAAGAGCAAGAAAUGCCUAUGAGAAAGCCGGAAAGAAACCCCUGGAAUUUGGAAGAAAAUGUCUAAAAGGGAAUGGCAAGGAACCUGAGGAACCAGCGUGAGGAAAACCUGGAUGAUCUGACGUCUUCCUCACUUUAUCCCUACCUGUCCACGCCUCCAUCCAUCCACCCAUCCAUCACUGAUCAAGCUCUCACUAUGUCUAUAGUGUAGAAGGUGCCACCAAAUGCAAUGGAACCUCUUGUCUCAUGUGUCUACUUGCAUCUUUAAGUUGAUACACGGAAGGCACAGUCCAAGCACAGGAUACUGGAAGCUAUGGAGGUACAGUGGCCUCUGAGCAAACUGAAAACUCUCUAUCACUAAAGGGUUGGGCAUACAGGGUAUCUCCUCUGCUCUGCCACCUACCUUGAGGAUGCUUUACAUGUGGCUAAAAGUGGAGGCAGAGAUAUUUGGAUAAAUAAAUGCUAGAGAAUUGGAAAUUCCUAGGACAAGUCAAUUUGGAUAUGUCUAUGUCAUCCUUUUUUUUCUAAGAGACACGUAACUCUGAUCCUUAAGGAGUUAGAGAGUUCCCAUAGCUUAGGGUCUGGAAGCCAUAUUCCUUUUUAUGUAACAUCCUUGAAUAUGCUACUCGUAUACCCUAAAUUUACUCUGUAAUUUUUUUUUUUUUAUUUGAGAGGGAGUCUCACUCUGCUGCC